This 555-nucleotide non-coding RNA is filed under the name Ceratostigma minus. RNAcentral's name for it is "partial transfer RNA-Leu". The stretch from base 1 to 210 matches the Rfam family "Group I catalytic intron". Lineage: Eukaryota; Viridiplantae; Streptophyta; Magnoliopsida; Caryophyllales; Plumbaginaceae. The record is from RNAcentral.
UGACCUUAUAUGGAAACUACUAAGUGAUAACUUUCAAAAUCAGAGAACCCUGGAAUUAAAAAAAUGGGCAAUCCUGAGCCAACUCCUGCUUCCCAAAAGCGAGAAAAAAAGGAUAGGUGCAGAGACUCAAUGGAAGCUAUUCUAACAAAUGGAGUUGACUGCCUUGCGUUGUUAUAAAAAUGCAUCUUCCAAAAAGGAUGAAGAAGAAAGAUAUAUACAUAUGUAUAUGUACUGAAAAGUGAAAUACUAUAUAUAACUGUAUCGAAAAAAUAAUGAAUGAUGACCCGAAUCCAUUUUUUUUUAUAUGAAUAUGAAAAAAUGGAAGAAUUUUUUUGAAUCGAUUCGAAGUUGAAGAAAGAAUCGAAUAUUCAUUUAUGAAAAAAAACGAAAACAUUUACUCCGCGGUCUGAUAGAUCUUUUGAAGAACCGAUCAAUCGGAUGAGAAUGAAGAUAGAGUCCCAUUCUACAUGUCAAUAUCGACAAGAAUGAAAUUUAUAGUAAGAGGAAAAUCCGUCGAUUUUAGAAAUCGUGAGGGUUCAAGUCCCUCUAUCCCCA